UGGAACCGGGAGAGGUAAGAGGUACUACAGGGGUAGGACGUGAAAGUCUUGUAAUCCCUGUGGGACCACCUGUGGCGAAGGCGUCUUACCAGAACGGGUUCGACGGUGAGGGACGAAGCUGGGGGCACGAACCGGAUUAGAUACCCGGGUAGUCCCAGCCGUAAACGAUGCUCGCUAGGUGUCAGGCAUGGCGCGACCGUGUCUGGUGCCGCAGGGAAGCCGUGAAGCGAGCCACCUGGGAAGUACGGCCGCAAGGCUGAAACUUAAAGGAAUUGGCGGGGGAGCACAACAACGGGUGGAAGCCUGCGGUUUAAUUGGACUCAACGCCGGACAACUCACCGGGGGCGACAGCAAUAUGUAGGCCAAGCUGAAGACUUUGCCUGAAUCGCUGAGGAGAGGUGCAUGG
RNAcentral lists this ribosomal RNA (406 nucleotides) under uncultured archaeon. RNAcentral's name for it is "bacterial SSU rRNA". It matches the Rfam family "Archaeal small subunit ribosomal RNA", at positions 593 to 997 of the family's 1478-position model. The record is from RNAcentral.